Molecule: small RNA, 1512 nt
Filed under: Pongo abelii (Sumatran orangutan)
Lineage: Eukaryota; Metazoa; Chordata; Mammalia; Primates; Hominidae
Description: processed transcript
Source: RNAcentral
AGGCUUUCGGGACGGCGGCGGGAAGAUGGCGGCCUCCAGGGAUGGGUUUGAAGCUGUGGAGGUAGAGGGCAGCGCAGGGUGCCGGGGAAGCUCGGGAAUGGAGGUGGUGUUUCCUUUGGAUCCUGCCGUCCCCGCCCCGCUGUGCCCUCACGGACCCACUCUUCUGUUUGUAAAGGUGACCCAAGGGAAAGAAGAAACUCGGAGGUUUUAUGCCUGUUCAGCCUGUAGAGAUAGAAAAGACUGUAAUUUUUUUCAGUGGGAAGAUGAAAAGUUGUCAGGAGCUAGACUUGCUGCCCGAGAAGCUCAUAACCGAAGAUGUCAGCCUCCCCUGUCCCGAAGGCAGUGUGUGGAAAGGUACUUGAAGUUUAUUGAGUUGCCCUUGACUCAGAGAAAGUUUUGUCAAAGAUGUCAGCAGUUGCUGUUACCAGAUGACUGGGGGCAACAUAGUGAGCAUCAGGUUCUGGGUGAUGUGUCCAUCACCCAGUUAAGAAGGCCCAGUCAACUCCUUUAUCCACUGGAAAACAAGAAGACAAAUGCCCAGUAUCUGUUUGCUGAUCGGAGCUGUCAGUUCUUGGUAGACUUACUUUCUGCCCUCGGAUUCAGAAGAGUACUGUGUGUUGGAACACCAAGGUUGCAUGAGCUGAUCAAGUUGACAGCAUCAGGUGACAAGAAGUCUAACAUUAAAAGCCUUUUAUUGGAUAUUGAUUUUCGGUAUUCACAGUUUUAUAUGGAAGAUAGCUUUUGCCAUUAUAAUAUGUUUAACCAUCAUUUCUUUGAUGGAAAGACUGCCCUUGAAGUAUGCAGAGCAUUUUUACAGGAAGAUAAAGGCGAAGGAAUCAUUAUGGUGACAGAUCCUCCGUUUGGUGGCUUGGUUGAACCUCUGGCUAUUACAUUCAAGAAGUUAAUUGCUAUGUGGAAAGAAGGUCAAAGCCAAGAUGACAGUCACAAAGAACUACCCAUUUUCUGGAUUUUCCCCUAUUUUUUUGAAUCCCGAAUUUGUCAGUUUUUUCCAAGCUUCCAGAUGCUGGAUUACCAGGGGGUAUAGAAAAGUAAAUCACCUUUCUGGUUGGUGAAAUGCCAUGCACACUUUACUGCGUCACUCUUGGGAUGUCAGGAGUGUCAGAGAAGGCAGAGAUGGCUCUGUGUGAAUGUGUUGAUUCCAGGAGGAAGUUACUGGAGUGAGUAACUUCACAGUGAUGACUAUGGAAUUUUCCCCAUGCCUGAAAUGAGAAUGAGGCUGCUGUCCACAGCAGCUCCACCUGGUCUUUUAAGUUCAUUCUGCUUUAAACUCCACUUUCCUGUAUUUUUUUCCCUUGUGUUUGAAGUUAACCCUGUUGUUGCCAUCACCGUGUAUGGUCUUUGGGCAGGUACUGCUUCUUUUUUUUUUUUUUUUUUUUGAGACAAAGUCUCACUCUGUCACCCAGUCUGGAGUGCAGUGGUGCAAUCUCGGCUCACUGCAACCUCUGCUUCCCAGGUUCAAGUGAUUCUUCUGCCUUAGCCUCCUGAGUAGCU